GAGGUUGUGGCUCAGUGGUAGAGCAUUUGCCUAGCAUGUAUGAGGCACUGGGUUCGAUUCCCAGCACUGCA
This 71-nucleotide transfer RNA is filed under the name Marmota monax (woodchuck). RNAcentral's name for it is "tRNA.Ala". The stretch from base 6 to 66 matches the Rfam family "tRNA", at positions 6 to 65 of the family's 71-position model. From Rfam's summary of the family: Transfer RNA (tRNA) molecules are approximately 80 nucleotides in length. Their secondary structure includes four short double-helical elements and three loops (D, anti-codon, and T loops). Further hydrogen bonds mediate the characteristic L-shaped molecular structure. tRNAs have two regions of fundamental functional importance: the anti-codon, which is responsible for specific mRNA codon recognition, and the 3' end, to which the tRNAs corresponding amino acid is attached (by aminoacyl-tRNA synthetases). tRNAs cope with the degeneracy of the genetic code in two manners: having more than one tRNA (with a specific anti-codon) for a particular amino acid; and 'wobble' base-pairing, i.e. permitting non-standard base-pairing at the 3rd anti-codon position. Lineage: Eukaryota; Metazoa; Chordata; Mammalia; Rodentia; Sciuridae. The record is from RNAcentral.